This 489-nucleotide ribosomal RNA is filed under the name Triticum aestivum (bread wheat). RNAcentral's name for it is "partial small subunit ribosomal RNA". The record is from RNAcentral. Lineage: Eukaryota; Viridiplantae; Streptophyta; Magnoliopsida; Poales; Poaceae.
AUGUCCCUGCUAGAGCUGAGCGAGGACGAGGAGACCACCACCUGCUCUAGCUGCGCAAGGCCACGCAGAGAGGCCAACCUCAUCCUCCAUCAAGCUAUUGGAGGCGAGUACAUGUCGGUCACGGAUGCUGGUUAUCUAUCAGUUUUGUUCGAUGUAGGAGAAAUCAUUGGUGGAAUUCUUGCUGGGUUCAUGUCUGAUCAGCUCGAUGCUAGGGCCACUACUGCAUGUGCACGGGUUGACGACAUCUACAGCCACGACCCCUCCGUCGUCCUCGUCACCUGGCACCUUGAGUGGAAGGGGCUGCCGUUCCAGUUCAGCAGGGUCUGGACCCUCUACCGCAGUGAGCUCGGCCCGCAUCGGCAACAGCGGAUUCAGAUUUUAUGGUGGCCUGUGAGGAGGAUUUCAGGGGAGAUCGUCUGUGAAUAUAACAAGAGGCUGAGAUUUGACCUGCACUGCAUGCGAAAAGCAGGUUCAGGAGCUCCAAGCUAA